CUAUAAUUUUUUAAUAUAUGUAUUUUAUUUACUACAUUUUCUCUACUCUGAGUAACUUUUUGAACAUCGACAACUGACACCCUAAUUAGGAAUAAAAGUUUUGCUGUCAAAAUAAUUGUUAACUUCAAUCCUAAACAUGGCGUCAAAAUUGUUUAAAGAGAAGUUUACGAAUAUAAAAAACAAGCAAAUAUGAAUUCUAUAGAAUUUAGGGUUUAAAGUAAUGAAAUGGCAAAAAAACCCUGCUUAAAUGGGAAGAGCAGUAUCUCUGCUUUAGCGAUCAAAACAAUUUUGGAAGUGGAAACAUUACCUUGUUUGUUUGGAAAGAAGAGAAAACACUAGUAUAACUUACCCGAUUUUUAACAUUUCAACAUUUCCUUUAUGGAGUCAUAUCGAUUUGUUGAUAGGUUGGACUUAACAAGAACUCUGAUAGUACAUUUUUUUCCAAACAGAACGUGGAGAUUAUAAAGCACGUAGUUAAGAAGGUGCCUUGCCCAAUUGCUUAAACGAAAAAGCAGUUUGAAGAAUAUAUAACAUCCGAUGGUGAACUAAGACUCGAGGUACAAUAGAAAAAAUACUACUAUAUAUUGUACAAGUUUAAAAAGGUGAGAAUGGAUUUUAAUGUCACGUUGUUAUACUGUCAUUAUAACAAUAUUAUAUUGUUACUAUUAUAAUAAAAAGGUUCUUUAUGACAUGAGAUAUCGUAGACUUUUUUAUAUGGUCGCAACAAUUGUAAUUUAAUCAACCAAUAAAGCAAGUUACUAAUUCUUAGUUAGUCGAUUAUUUGUUAAAGUUAAUCGUAAGGCAAUGGUAAAAUAGUCUAAAAUCCGAAUCUAUAGAACUGUUUCGGCAUAGCGUUGAAAGAACAGAGAA
Long non-coding RNA from Teleopsis dalmanni, 870 nucleotides. RefSeq lists it as uncharacterized. The record is from RefSeq and is a predicted model, not a curated record. The transcript has 3 exons. Lineage: Eukaryota; Metazoa; Arthropoda; Insecta; Diptera; Diopsidae.